AAACUUUCCCCUUUUCAUUUUGUUUCUAGCGGCGGCGCUCCUGCUCCCGGCGAUGCGAUGCUCGUGCUGGUUGGUGGGUCUCGGCCUCGGGGCUCGGGCUCGCGCCUCACGGGACGCGGCAACGCGUGCGACCGCGGCAAACCGCGAGCGUCCACAGCGAGUCGGUGAGCUACCGGCGAUGUGACGCUCUAGAUCCCGGCGGUAGCCUGUGCUGUUGCUGGCGAGUCGCGGGUUCGCAGUCGCAGCCUCGCAGGACACGGCAUCGUGCGUGACCGUGGCAAGCGGAGGGCAGCCGCGGCAAGCCACGGCCCAUGAGCUUCCACGGUGAGCGCGCAGGCAUCCUGUGCACGGCGAGCCGGUGAGCGACUGGCGUUUGCGGAGCUUGAAUCCAGCACGCGGCGGGCGUGCAGAUCCAGGCCUGCAAGCGUUCAUUGCCUCCCUAGGCCCUCUUGCUGUUCUUCAAGGAGAAGCAUAGCGGCAGCUAUCCCUGCUAAAUGGCAUUAGACUAUUCGGAAUUCGUCGCGAAGCUCAGACCCAGGUGCUCUUCCUAUCCAUGUAGUGGGUCCUUGGCUACUAAAGUUUCACAUUUUAGAAGGUGUAGAACACUUUGGUAUUGUACAGUUUAGUGCUUUCACUUAGCACUAGAGGAUGGUUGUGUAUUUUAAGCUUUCACCUAUUUUUUGGUGGCUUCCAUGGAUAUCAAGUGCUAGUUACAUAUGUGGAGACAACCAUAGUUUGAUUUUUAAAUGACAUGAUUGCAUAUGUACUUGAGUUUGACAAUUGAUUGAGUAUGUCUGAUGUCAUCGUUUGUGUAUUAAUCAUUUUAAUAUUGUAUUGGUCUGGAAUGUUUGAUCAAAUGUACAUAAGUUUUAGAUAUAUAAGGUUUUAUUUUUUUUA
Long non-coding RNA from Sorghum bicolor (sorghum), 897 nucleotides. RefSeq lists it as uncharacterized. NCBI's taxonomy places the organism in Eukaryota, Viridiplantae, Streptophyta, Magnoliopsida, Poales, Poaceae. The record is from RefSeq and is a predicted model, not a curated record. The transcript has 3 exons.